AUACGAAGGGGGCUAGCGUUGUUCGGAAUUACUGGGUGUAAAGGGUGUGUAGGCGGGGAUGCAAGUCAGAUGUGAAAUCCAUGGGCUCAACCUAUGGUGUGCAUUUGAAACUGCGUUCUUGAGUGUGGGAGAGGUAAGCGGAAUUCCUAGUGUAGCGGUGAAAUGCGUAGAUAUUAGGAGGAACACCAGUGGCGAAGGCGGCUUACUGGACCACAACUGACGCUGAGACACGAAAGCGUGGGGAGC
Molecule: ribosomal RNA, 246 nt
Filed under: uncultured bacterium
Lineage: Bacteria
Description: partial 16S ribosomal RNA
Rfam family: Bacterial small subunit ribosomal RNA
Source: RNAcentral